UAAUAGAAGUUCAUUGUUUUAACUCUCUCCCUCCCUCCCCUCUCGAUCUCUCUCCAUUUAUUUAUUCUAGUGUAUAUAGUUAUACAUAUAUACACAUAUAAUAUAAUAUUAUUAUAUAUUUGUGUUAUGUUUUAUAACAUAUUAUCAGCAUGAUGUUUUUACUGUUGGAGCUUUUAUGAGGUAAGUAAGUUUAUAUUGUUUCGAUUAUAUUUAUAGAACAUAAAUAUUAUAGAUAUCAUGAAAUUACGCCUUUUUCCGGAUUGAUCGUCAUAAACUGUAGGCAUUGCCUCCUUUAUGAUCAAAUCUAUAGCUAAAUUAUAUCCGAAUAUAUCGUUAGAUAUAUGGUAGGCUUUGCCUCCUUCACGAUCAAAUAAAAGCUAUUUCUUUUCCGGAUAAAUAGAUCGUUAAAUAUGGUAGGUUUUGCCUCUUUUUCGAUUAUACAUAAAGCUAUAUAAUUUUUGGAUGGAUCAUUUUAUAUGAUAGGCUUUGCCUCCUUAUAGAUCUAACAAAAGACUAUGUCUUUUCCAGAAAAAUCGUUAAAAAUGGCAGGUUAUGCCUCCUAUAUUAUCAAAUAUAAAGACUAUGUCAUUUUCUGGAUUCAUCGUUAUAAGUGGUAGGUUUUACCUCCUUUUCGAUCAAAUAUAUAGUUAUGUUAUAUCCAAAUUGGUCGUUUGAUAUAUGGUAGGCUCUGCCUCCUUCACGAUCAAAUAAAAGUUAUGUCUUUUUCGGGUAGAUAGAUCGUUAUAUAUGGUAGGCUUUACCUCCUUUACGAUCAUAUAUAAAGCUAUAUAAUAUUUGGAUUGAUCAUUUGAUAUGGUAGGCUUCGCCCCUCCAUCACGAUCUAACAAAAGGCUAUGUCCUUUCCAAAAGAUCGGUUUUACCUUUUAUGUGAUCAAAUAAAAGGUUUUGUCUUUUCCGGAUUGAUCAUUAUACAUAUAGAAUUUCUACCUCAUUCAUGAUCAAAUAAAAAACUUUGUUUUUUCCGGAUUGAUCGUUAUAUAUGAUAGGCUCUCCCUAUUCUAAGAUCAAAGAAAAGCUAUGUCUAUUGAGUUCUUAUAUAUAAGGCUAUAACUCUUAUUUUAUUUUCUGAAUUUAUAUGUUUGUUUAUUUAAUUCCGUUUAUUAGUAAAGAAUAACUAUAUGUGUUAUAUGAGAUUUAAAGACAAUGAAAUGUCUUUAAAAUCAAAAAUAUAUUUCUCUUAUGAGAAUAUAUGAAGCACAUGUCAGUAUAUCCUAGACAGUGCAAACAUAAUUGAAAGGUCUAGAUGAGUUAGUCUCUCGACUUCCAAAGACAUCAUAUUCAUAAUUAUCGAUGUCUAGUGUUCUCCAAAGUCUCAAAGAAACUCAUGGAGUUUUAAAGACUUUUUUUUUCUUAAUGAAAUUAUUAUGUUGAGACUAUAAAUAAAUAUGGUAUCGCAAGAUCGGCCAUAUUGGAGACACACAUGUAUAUGAUUAUAUCAUACAAAAAGAAAGAUGGCAAAAUAAUAGUAAAAAUGAAAUUCUUUUAUGCUUUAAGUAUAACAUUACCGGUUAAGCCAUCCCGGUCAAUCAAUGAUAUUAAAAAUCAUUGAGAAUUUGUUCAGAGGAACAAAAGUUUUUUCAAAAGUACUGCAUGUCCCAGUUCACAUUUCAUGAAGUUGUAAUCACUGCACUUCAUUCAUAUUUCAGUAGUCUAUGCCUCCAGAAUCAUAUAGUGUUGGCCCACUCACCAUCUUUUGGAUUAACAAGCUCAUUGUAUAUAUAUGAUGGUUUGAUUUCUUUAAUAAAUCCCCAAAUUAAACCCCAAAUAUCACCGAUGUAAAAAUAAGAUUCGGUUAAAGGUGAAUGGAUAUAAAAUUCAUCAUCUUGAGAGGGGUAAUUCUCAUCUCACAUAUUAUAAGGAUCUAAGAUAAUAGACAUAACCAGAAUCGGUAUGUUGUUGAUCCAUGUAUGGGAUUCAGUACGAGAUGAAUCAACUCCAAGAGUUAUCAUCUCGAGGGGGAGAAUUAAAAUUCCACAUCGACAAUAAGUCGAUAAACUUUGGUGAAUUUGACACCCCAUAGCGAUAUAACUUUGGUGAAGUCAUAUCCUUUAGUUUAUCACAUAUAUAUGUCGCAUGUGAUAAAGUAGAACAUCCAUGAUGUUCACUCUUGAAAUGAGCUAUAUAAUCAUUCAUAGCGCAACCACAAGAUAUUACAAAACGGUUCCUGGUUUUUUAAUCUCCAUGUCAAAACAUGGAACAUGGAGUUUUGCAUGUAGUCAAUAUUAUAUAUGACGCCAACAUUUUAUAAAGAAAUAUUACUCCCAUGUUAUAUAUUCACGGUUGAAGAUCAAAUAUUUCUCAUUUUGAAUCUUAUGGGUGUGUGAUAUAUAUUUUAAAAUGCUCCUCCACACCGCAUAAAAAUAUCAUCCACAGAGGAUGAAAUAUAUAGAUGUGGGAGAUGACUCUCCGCUCUAAUAAUGUUAAAGCCAUCUUAUGAGAGAUGUGCUUAUUGCAAGAUUUGCAUAUCAUCAUGUUGGAUGAUAAAGAUCCCAUCACUAUGGGGAAAUCAUAAAAUAGUUUGGAUCUUUGAACAAACGAAUAUAAUGAAUAUGAACUUGAUUGUUCAAAAGUUCAAAAGACCACUAUUCAAAAUGUUUACUGCAAAUCAAAUGCAAAAAGCUGAUGGUUGAGAUUUCAUAUUGAUCCUCGCUUAAAUGAAUAUGAACUUGUAGUUCUAAGAAAUCUCACAUCCCAGCUAGAAAUGCUCCAAUAAAAUAUGUCUCUGACGGAUGACAUACUAAGUCUAUGACACACAAGAAACGUGAUAGACUACUUUGGUUCCUAAGAUAAAUAAAAUCCUCGAAAAGAAAAAGGAGCAAAUAAAAAAGAGGUUUAUACUCUCAAAAGAGGAGCAAAUGAACUCCUAAAGAGGAGUAGAUAGACUCUUAAAGAAGAGCUAAUAGACUCCCUGAGAGGAGCACAUAGACUCCUAAAAAGGAGCAAGAUACUUCUCAAGAGGAGUAGAGAAACCGGUUGAUAUGGUUAACGAAAUCAGGUACCUGUAUAAAAUCAUUUAUAUAAUGAUUAAAGAGAUCUUGAUUAACCAUGUCAUUACGGGAAAUAUGGAACCAAAGACAUAAUGUCGACAAUAAAAAUAUUAUAUCGCGCAAUGUGAUUAAUGAGGAUCAUAAAUCUCUGCUCUGUGAGCGUACAGAGAUAUAUAUUGGCCAAUAAAGAGGUAAUCAAGUCUAUAUUAAACUCGUAUGAAAGACGGGUAAUUUUUAGACUAGUGGUCCAAGCAUCAAAAGGGUAUAAUGAUAUAACGAAAUGGUGUGUCGUGCCAUGUUUUGUUAAAAUACCUUAUCAAACAAAAUGGAUGUUAUAUGAAUGACUUGAAAUAUGCCUCAUGGAUGCUUGAAGAGCUUACCCCGAAAUAUAUAUGAUAUCAUAAUUAUGGUCUCGAGAACUCAUACCAGUGAUGAUUUUGAACAUCAUCAAAACUCUUGAAGAGUUAUAUGGAAUGAAAGAUCUUGGAAAGACAAAUAUGUCUCUAGAUAUUCCAAACUAAACAUCUUUCGAAAUAGAUUCGAUAGAUGUUAUACUAAUCACUUUAAAGGAAGUCAAAUAUAGAUAUAUAUAGAUAUAUAUAUAAUCAUGUAAGAUCAUAUAGAAAUGCUGACGAGCAUUUAUAUAUUUUAUGAAUUAUACAUAGCAUUUUCUACUAAUCUUUUUGCAGCAUAUAACUCAUUCUCUAUGAGUAGAUUUUGAGUAUGAGUUAAAACAUAUCUUCUAUUGCAAAGGUGUGAUUAACUUGGGCUUAAUAUAUUUUGGAACCCCCAAGUUUGGUUUAGUUGGUUUUACAGAUGGAAGAUUUAUAUCGGAUCAGUACAAAGAUAAAUCGCAAAACAACAACUUCGCGACGUUUCAGUGAUAGACUUUUUGGCUGUCGCUUAUUCAAGUCAUGCCAAAAUAGUUGUUCUUCAUAUGCCAUAUCGAGAAUCCCUAAUGGCUCAGAUGAUGUCCGAACAUCAACCAAUAGUUACCCGCCUAAGCCUGAAGCCUCGUAACAUGUUUACAAAGAACUUCGAACUGAGGGUUCGAUCAACAUCAACUAGUUAAUGUUUGUUGAGACCCAUUAGCAAGAUGCAACUAAAGUAGUCACCAAGGGCAACACCACUGUUUGAAGACUCUGUUGCAUAUGUCGCCCAAAUUCAAAGGAAGCUACACCAAGAGCGACAAAACAAGACAUAUUCCUCUCUUACCUUUGAGAAGAAUAAAGAAGUUGAUAGUUAGUCCAUCAACUCAAGUAACAAUGUAGCAGAGUUACUUAUAAAGGGGGAGAAUAUGAUGAUCCACGUGGCUGCACUCUUUUUCCCUUAUCAUGGUUUUUAUCCCACUGGGUUUUUCCAUGAAAGUUUUUUAACGAGGCAGCAAAUAACACGCAGAAUAUCGAUCUCAAAGAAGAAUGUCAAUGGUGAAGGUCUAUCUCUCUUCAGAAGAAUGAAGAGAAUGAUCGAUAUGGAUCAUCUACGAAGAUAUGAAGAAAAGAAUGAUCGAUAUGACUCAUCUACGAAACCUAUGAAGAGAAAAAGACUCGUCUAUUUCAGGGGGAGAUUGUGUCACUAUACUCUUUUUCCCUUAUCAUGGUUUUUAUCCUAUAUGAUUUUUCUAUGAUAAAGUUUUUAACGAGGCAGUACACAAUAAAUGGUGAUGAAUAAUCAAGGGAGAGUGUUAUAAACGAGAUAAUAACACUUGUGAUUAUCCAUCACAUUACUUCUACUCUAAGUAACUUUAAUCUUAUCCAUAUGUUUAUCACUUACUUACUUCCCAAGUAAUUAAAGUUUAUCUUCUUAUCCCAUGUAUGACUUAUCCAUUAGUAAUCCCUAUAUAUAUGUGUUUGUUGGUUUAUUGUAAUAAAGAACAAAAAAGUUGGAGAGUGAAGUAAUAGAAGUUCAUUGUUUUAA
Molecule: non-coding RNA, 4925 nt
Organism: Camelina sativa (false flax)
Lineage: Eukaryota; Viridiplantae; Streptophyta; Magnoliopsida; Brassicales; Brassicaceae
Source: RefSeq, a predicted model, not a curated record